GUGGCCACGCAACACAGAUGCCAACACUGGGCUGGCACAGGGAUGAUCGGCAUGGCACCUGUGCAAGAAUGACACACAAAUUCCUGACAUAUUCCAAAUUUGA
Molecule: small nuclear RNA, 103 nt
Organism: Ochotona curzoniae (black-lipped pika)
Lineage: Eukaryota; Metazoa; Chordata; Mammalia; Lagomorpha; Ochotonidae
Source: RefSeq, a predicted model, not a curated record